GACGAACGCUGGCGGCGUGCUUAACACAUGCAAGUCGAACGAAGAGCGAUGGAAGCUUGCUUCUAUCAAUCUUAGUGGCGAACGGGUGAGUAACGCGUAAUCAACCUGCCCUUCAGAGGGGGACAACAGUUGGAAACGACUGCUAAUACCGCAUACGAUCUAAUCUCGGCAUCGAGGAUAGAUGAAAGGUGGCCUCUACAUGUAAGCUAUCACUGAAGGAGGGGAUUGCGUCUGAUUAGCUAGUUGGAGGGGUAACGGCCCACCAAGGCGAUGAUCAGUAGCCGGUCUGAGAGGAUGAACGGCCACAUUGGGACUGAGACACGGCCCAGACUCCUACGGGAGGCAGCAGUGGGGAAUCUUCCGCAAUGGACGGAAGUCUGACGGAGCAACGCCGCGUGAGCGAUGACGGCCUUCGGGUUGUAAAGCUCUGUUAAUCGGGACGAAAGGCCUUCUUGCGAAUAGUGAGAAGGAUUGACGGUACCGGAAUAGAAAGCCACGGCUAACUACGUG
This 510-nucleotide ribosomal RNA is filed under the name uncultured bacterium. Its description in RNAcentral is "partial 16S ribosomal RNA". It matches the Rfam family "Bacterial small subunit ribosomal RNA", at positions 28 to 507 of the family's 1533-position model. The record is from RNAcentral.